Molecule: transfer RNA, 75 nt
Filed under: Candidatus Peregrinibacteria bacterium
Lineage: Bacteria; Candidatus Peregrinibacteriota
Description: tRNA-Thr
Rfam family: tRNA
About the family: Transfer RNA (tRNA) molecules are approximately 80 nucleotides in length. Their secondary structure includes four short double-helical elements and three loops (D, anti-codon, and T loops).
Source: RNAcentral
GCCACCGUAGCUCAGGGGUAGAGCACACCCAUGGUAAGGGUGGGGUCGAGGGUUCAAUUCCCUCCGGUGGCUCCA